GUCCAUGCCGUAAACGUUGGGCACUAGGUGUGGGGGACAUUCCACGUUUUCCGCGCCGUAGCUAACGCAUUAAGUGCCCCGCCUGGGGGAGUACGGCCGCAAGGCUAAAAACUCAAAAGGAAUUGACGGGGGCCCGCACAAGCGGCGGAGCAUGCGGAUUAAUUCGAUGCAACGCGAAGAACCUUACCAAGGCUUGACAUGGGCCGGACCGGGCUGGAAACAGUCCUUCCCCCUUUGGGGCCGGUUCACAGGUGGUGCAUGGUUGUCGU
Molecule: ribosomal RNA, 269 nt
Filed under: uncultured bacterium
Lineage: Bacteria
Description: partial 16S ribosomal RNA
Rfam family: Bacterial small subunit ribosomal RNA
Source: RNAcentral